RNAcentral lists this ribosomal RNA (614 nucleotides) under Colletotrichum nymphaeae. Its description in RNAcentral is "partial large subunit ribosomal RNA". It matches the Rfam family "Eukaryotic large subunit ribosomal RNA", at positions 25 to 663 of the family's 3401-position model. Lineage: Eukaryota; Fungi; Ascomycota; Sordariomycetes; Glomerellales; Glomerellaceae. The record is from RNAcentral.
CCGCUGAAUUUAAGCAUAUCAAUAAGCGGAGGAAAAGAAACCAACAGGGAUUGCCCCAGUAACGGCGAGUGAAGCGGCAACAGCUCAAAUUUGAAAUCUGGCCCCAGGCCCGAGUUGUAAUUUGCAGAGGAUGCUUUUGGCGCGGUGCCUUCCGAGUUCCCUGGAACGGGACGCCAUAGAGGGUGAGAGCCCCGUACGGUUGGACACCAAGCCUUUGUAAAGCUCCUUCGACGAGUCGAGUAGUUUGGGAAUGCUGCUCUAAAUGGGAGGUACAUUUCUUCUAAAGCUAAAUAUUGGCCAGAGACCGAUAGCGCACAAGUAGAGUGAUCGAAAGAUGAAAAGCACUUUGAAAAGAGGGUUAAACAGCACGUGAAAUUGUUAAAAGGGAAGCGCUUGUGACCAGACUUGCGUCCGGUGAAUCACCCAGCUCUCGCGGCUGGGGCACUUCGCCGGCACAGGCCAGCAUCAGCUUGCCGUCGGGGACAAAAGCUUCAGGAACGUGGCUCCUCUCGGGGAGUGUUAUAGCCUGUUGCAUAAUACCCUUCGGCGGGCUGAGGUACGCGCUCCGCAAGGAUGCUGGCGUAAUGGUCAUCAGCGACCCGUCUUGAAACACG